This 440-nucleotide ribosomal RNA is filed under the name uncultured bacterium. RNAcentral describes it as "bacterial SSU rRNA". It matches the Rfam family "Bacterial small subunit ribosomal RNA", at positions 338 to 795 of the family's 1533-position model. The record is from RNAcentral.
CCUACGGGGGGCUGCAGUAACGAAUCUUCCGCAAUGCACGAAAGUGUGACGGAGCGACGCCGCGUGUGGGACGAAGUCCUUCGGGAUGUAAACCACUGUCAGGGGUUACCAAGUCCUGAGGAGCCCCAGAGGAAGGCACGGCUAACUCUGUGCCAGCAGCCGCGGUAAGACAGAGGUGCCGAGCGUUAGGCGGAAUCACUGGGCUUAAAGCGUGUGUAGGCGGACCGUUAAGUACCUUGUGAAAUCCCACGGCUCAACCGUGGAACGGCUGGGUAUACUGGCGGUCUUGGGCCACCUAGGGGCGAGCGGAACAAGCGGUGGAGCGGUGAAAUGCGUAGAUAUCGCUUGGAACGCCGACGGUGAAAACAGCUCGCUGGGGGUGUGCCGACGCUGAGACACGAAAGCCAGGGGAGCGAACGGGAUUAGAUACCCGAGUAGUC